This 434-nucleotide ribosomal RNA is filed under the name uncultured Lachnospiraceae bacterium. RNAcentral's name for it is "bacterial SSU rRNA". It matches the Rfam family "Bacterial small subunit ribosomal RNA", at positions 341 to 792 of the family's 1533-position model. The record is from RNAcentral. Lineage: Bacteria; Bacillati; Bacillota; Clostridia; Lachnospirales; Lachnospiraceae.
ACGGGAGGCAGCAGUGGGGAAUAUUGGACAAUGGGGGAAACCCUGAUCCAGCGACGCCGCGUGAGUGAAGAAGUAUUUCGGUAUGUAAAGCUCUAUCAGCAAGGAAGAAAAUGACGGUACUUGACUAAGAAGCCCCGGCUAACUACGUGCCAGCAGCCGCGGUAGUACGUAGGGGGCAAGCGUUAUCCGGAUUUACUGGGUGUAAAGGGAGCGUAGACGGUAUGGCAAGUCUGAAGUGAAAUGCAUGGGCUCAACCCAUGAACUGCUUUGGAAACUGUCAAACUAGAGUGCAGGAGAGGUAAGUGGAAUUCCUAGUGUAGCGGUGAAAUGCGUAGAUAUUAGGAGGAACACCAGUGGCGAAGGCGGCUUACUGGACUGUAACUGACGUUGAGGCUCGAAAGCGUGGGGAGCAAACAGGAUUAGAUACCCUGGUA